This 364-nucleotide ribosomal RNA is filed under the name uncultured bacterium. Its description in RNAcentral is "partial 16S ribosomal RNA". It matches the Rfam family "Bacterial small subunit ribosomal RNA", at positions 338 to 699 of the family's 1533-position model. The record is from RNAcentral.
CCUACGGGAGGCAGCAGUGAGGAAUAUUGGUCAAUGGACGGAAGUCUGAACCAGCCAUGCCGCGUGCAGGAAGACGGCUCUAUGAGUUGGAAACUGCUUUUGUACAAGGGUAAACCUGAAUACGUGUAUUCAGCUGAACGUCUUGUUCGAUUAAGGCUCGGCCAACCCCGUGCCAGCAGCCGCGGUAAUACGGAGGGUCCAAGCGUUACCGGGAUUUAGUGGGUUUAAAGGGUGCGGAGGCGGAUUGAUAAGUUAGAGGGGAAAUGUCCGGGCCUAACUCCGGAACUGCCUCGAAUACUGUUGAGCCAGAGAGUAGGAGCGGUAAGCGGAAUUUAUGGUGUAGCGGUGAAAUGCUUAGAGAUCA